This 248-nucleotide unclassified non-coding RNA is filed under the name plant metagenome. RNAcentral describes it as "partial contains small subunit ribosomal RNA and internal transcribed spacer 1". The stretch from base 1 to 46 matches the Rfam family "Eukaryotic small subunit ribosomal RNA", at positions 1786 to 1831 of the family's 1831-position model. The record is from RNAcentral.
AAGUCGUAACAAGGUUUCCGUAGGUGAACCUGCGGAAGGAUCAUUACAGUAUUCUUUUGCCAGCGCUUAAUAGCGCGGCGAAAAACCUUACACACUAUGUUUUUUUAAUUUGAAACUAUUGCUUUGGUCUGGCUUAGAAAUAGGUUGGGCCAAAAGGUUUUAUUACCAAAACUUCAAUAUUUAUAUUGAAUUGUUAUUUUAAAUUUUUUGUCAGUUGCAUUGUUGAAUUAAUCAAAAAUUCUUCAAAA